Molecule: ribosomal RNA, 252 nt
Filed under: uncultured microorganism
Description: partial 16S ribosomal RNA
Rfam family: Bacterial small subunit ribosomal RNA
Source: RNAcentral
UACGUAGGUCCCGAGCGUUGUCCGGAUUUAUUGGGCGUAAAGCGAGCGCAGGUGGUUUAAUAAGUCUGAUGUAAAAGGCAGUGGCUCAACCAUUGUGUGCAUUGGAAACUGUUAGACUUGAGUGCAGUAGAGGAGAGUGGAAUUCCAUGUGUAGCGGUGAAAUGCGUAGAUAUAUGGAGGAACACCGGUCGCGAAAGCGGCUCUCUGGACUGUAACUGACACUGAGGCUCGAAAGCGUGGGUAGCAAACAGG